Long non-coding RNA from Passer domesticus (house sparrow), 2239 nucleotides. RefSeq lists it as uncharacterized. The transcript has 4 exons. The record is from RefSeq and is a predicted model, not a curated record. NCBI's taxonomy places the organism in Eukaryota, Metazoa, Chordata, Aves, Passeriformes, Passeridae.
UGGUUCCCAACAUGAUUAACAGCUGCUGCAGAGAAACCCCCUUUGCAGGCUUCUCAGGAAUAGCUCUGACAAGGAGUUCCUGCUCAUUUCAGCAACUCCAAAAAUUGCAGCCUGAUGAGUUUAAACUGGCCAGAAAGGGUUCAUGGCUGAUUUUGGUGGUUUCUGGCAGACUGAGCAUCACCGAGCAUGUUCUGGUGCUCUGCAUUCAGCCCCAGCAAACAUCCCGUGCCUGCUCUGCAUGCCUCUAGCUGAAACUGGCACCCAGCUGUCACAGGAAUGGCAUGGUAGGGAGCACUCCCAUAUGGAGAGACUCAAGAUAUGUCAGUUUGAUUUUGUUUCCUAUUCUCACUCCAGAAACUAUUAUGCCAAGCCACAGAAACCCAGGAACAAUUUUGCACUUUCCAGACCGUACUGAUCCAACAUGCAAAGCCAAAGUUUAAUUCCCUUGCAUCCUUCCCACACUUGUUGUCUGCUUUCAAAGUUUUCAGAAGUCUCUUGUUUGGGAGCACUGGUGGAGCACUGUGAGGUUUUCUAACCCCAGAGCCUAUCUCAGAGACAAAAGCACUGUUCCUUUAACUCCUCUCCCCUCAGUGCUUUGUUUAGGAUUAUUAUCUCAUGUGGAUAAUUAAUUCUCUUGAACGUCAGCAUCUGGCCCUGGGUGGGAGCUGUGCUGGAGAGAGCAGCAGAGCACAGGAUUGGGUUAUAAGGUGCUAGAACACCUGUUUGUGCCUUUUGUGAUCUUCCUCAAGUCUGUAAAGAAGGAGAGGGAAGGAGAUAGGGUCUCUACUCUGCCCCAGAAAGGUGCCUGUGGGGCACAGAAAAGUCUCCAAGUCAGAUUCCCAUGGAUGAAACCAUCUGCCUGCCUUGGGCUGGUCUGAAUGCUGCCUGCAGAAUGAGCUGCAGCACCACCCUGUUUAUCAGUGCCUCCCCUGCACUGAUAAUCACAGAAAAGCCUCUCCUUCAAGACCUUCUCCCACACCACGCUGAGUUGAAAGAGGGACCAAGUAUUCUCCUUUCAGAUGAAGGCAGCAGCACUGAGCUCCCAGCAAUGCCCCUCUGGACUCGUGUUUGCCGAAGGACUGAUGAAUUUGUCAUUGCUGCUGUGUCAAGGACAGGCUGAUGGAAGGUGCUGCAAACACCAAAGGACACAUUCCGGGGAAGGUAGCAAGGCCUGAGAGAGUGAAGGAGCAGCUUUAAGGGUAAAGAGGCACUUCCAGAUCUGUGCUGGGGGCACCUGGCUGGCUGGGAGUUGGGGUCCAUGUGUGCCUCAGCCUGGUGCUCCUCACUGUGGCCUCUGGCAAGACCAUGGAGACUGGGAAUGCUGCUGAACAGUUGGUGUAGUAUCUGUGCAAGAAUGUUGUCACCCUGAUUUAUUUAUUUUAAUCCAUAUUUUAGACAAAGCACCUACAGAGUCUAUGGAAAAGACUGGGACCAGGGCUUCAGCAUCUUCUGCUUCCCAGUGGCUAAGUGAGUCUGGUGGGGGAGCAGCACCAUGCAACCACCACGGUAGGACGGGAAACUGGGAAGUGAGCUCAGGUUUAAUCAGCUCAGGAUCCCUGUAAGGGUUUCAAACUUUCAGGAUCUGCCCUGUCCAAGACACUCUGCCUUGGCCAUCCAGAGCCAGUGAUGAUGAUAUUAGUGCAGGGAGGGCUCUCAACCCCCUGGGGAAUCCAGAGAUCCUGACAAGUGGGAAGACAAGAGGUUUUCCACCUUCUAUUUGCUGAAUUAGCAGCUCCCAAUAACUGAGAGGGACCAAUCUCAUCCUUCUCUGCCCUCGUCCUUGCCCUUACUGUUAUUUUCCCAUCUGUGUGAUCACAAGAAAAAGCCAGUUUGACUUGCCAGCAAAGUGUUUAGUUAAUAUUUCCUGAGUACAAGUUUCCUGCCACUGUAGUCAACUAAACCUGCCCACUGUGCUAGCAAACAGGUUUUGGAGCCAGCUGAAGGUGAGAAGAAACACGUGGCUGUCAGAGACAGGAGAGAGGAUGCAGCCUCCCCUUUUCAGCAGCACAAGGGAUACAAUCAGCUCAACCUGUAAAUGUUAAUCUGCAGCCUACACUACUGUGGCUUCUCUGCAGACAAGCCUUUAACUUUGGUCAUCCCCUCCAUACGUGCAGCCUCGCACAUCUUCUUACACCAGGUAAUGAGUACUGUCCUGCUCAGUGAACAUAAUUCAUACUCUGUGGUCUUGGACUCCCUGCCUUUGCUCUUGCAUGACUGAGUGUCCCUUUGUGCUAAAAAA